AUCUCAGAAAGCCUGCGACUCGUAUUCGGUUGGUUUUAAAAGCACCUACUCGGAUUCAGGAGAGAAACUUGAAGUUUUGAUCGAUGUUUUCAUAGAUUCAUAUAUGACUUCAUUGACUUGGAAAAGCUAGCGUUUUUAUUUAUACUGUGUUUCUACAAGUAUUUAGUCUUCGAUGUUGGCUGUGUUAGGAGUAUUCGACGCAAUAAACAUUCUUGUCAUAUUGAGUAAGUAGUUGGAACACUAUACUAAUCUAUCUGUUGUAUAUAUGAUGGGAAUUCUAUCGAGUUUGAAAGGGUGAUUGAUCCCCAAUCUAUUGGGGGCAUGCAUGCCCAGCUUUUAAGAACUUCGUGUUUCUAUAUCCAGACUCUCUAUCCAUACGCAAAAUAUACCAAUAUUGGUGAUGGUUGUCCCUGCAGCAGUAUUUACGUAAGUUCCGUAGCCUCAAUCGAUCUGAUCGUACAUAUAUAAUACUUGCAUCUCUGAUUCAAAAAGAAGAACAAAGCAGCAUACCGGCCGUCUGCCACGAUGUUGCGUGAUUAGCAUGAAAGAAUAAAUAUCUGCUGAUUGUCAUCGAUUCUACUCCGAUCCCUAUCACAAUAAUUCAUUGUUAACCUAGCUUGUUGCAACUCAUCGAUAGCUAAGACAGAUACCCUAAUCUCAGAUUAUCACACAAUGCAUGGUCGCUGUUGGUCACCCUUUAUUUGCUGUGAUAUAUAUCCACAAGUAGAUAAGUUUGAUAUCGAGGACACGAUUGAAAUCCUUGUUGAUCUUUUAUUCUUAGCUAGGAUGACUGGAAGACCCAACACAUGCCCUCAUGAUUCUAUCAUAUCUGGAUUAAGUUAACAUUGUCAAGUCUCAUUCUUAGAGUAUUACGGUGAUAAUCAUAAUCUGCCCCCUGCAUGCAUGCAGCUCAUACCCUUAAUUUGGCUAUUAGACUUCGACUCCGUAAUAUAUUUAACAAUCUGCUGGUGAUUAAAAUUAACUGGAUAGAUGCCUUUAAUAUUGAGGACCCCAUAUGGCUGAUUCUUAUUCGCACCAAUCCAAAUAUAUUAUUAGCUAAAAGACUCAGGUUUAUUGAAGAUAAAUAUAUAGAAAACUUAGUUAGUUUGAAGUUUGAAGUUUGAACUUCUCCAGCAAAUAAGGAUUUGCCAUGCCAGUAGAUCUAUCACCAUCUGCUUUUUUUGUUCGAUGCCAAAUUUAGUUUGGUAAAUAAGCAUGAAACUUUGUAUCCCAAGUGGCUUCGCACUCGCGAAAGUUGUAUUAGUUAAGUGACUUAAGUCGAUAUCAUUGCAGAUCGAUGAAGCAUUUGUUACUGUUGUUUACCAGUUUAAUUCGACCAAUUCAUUCCUGUAGAUGAAAAGCUCCCAAUCCAUUCCUUUUGACCAAGUCAAUCCAUUAUGCAUCUAUUAUCCUCUCUGAAUAUAUGCGAUCUUUCGCAAGCUAUGAUAUUAGUUAUUAUAUGGGGUUCAGGGGUUGAGAAGUUAGAAAUCGGAUUUCAGAGGACUGGGGAAAAAAAAAGAAAAAAGAAAAAGACAGGACUGCAUAAAAAUCCUGGACUUUAGUUAUACCUAGCUACAAUAGGCAUCAUAUAUAACUUCAAGCAGACAAAAUAAUUUUACUUCAAGCAGACUAUAGCUAGUACAUGUAUCCAAUUUGUGCUGGAUGAUCGAAUAUGCUUGAAAGAUUUUAAUGGUUAAACACCAUUUCAUUAUGUAAGAUACUAAAUAAGAUUAUCAUCUUGAUAAUAAAAGUGAUUAAUGGUUGAUUAGGAGUUUUAGUGUUUAACCUAGCAUGAAAGUAAACCUAGUACGUAGUGUUAAUCGCAUCGAUUCAUAAAAUAUCCCCAUGCCAGAUCAGAAAGAUGUAUUAAUCUAAUAUAUAGAAUCCAAAGUGCAGAUGCAGAGGAACACACUCUAGCUAGCUCUUGCAGAGCACCCUAUAAAUUGAUCUCGUGCUCUAACCAGUACCUCACUAUACACAGAUACCAGAACGUACAAGCCUUUCUUGCAGAGCCAGCCAGAAGUCCAGAACUACUUGAGCCAUAUAUAUAUGGUGAGGUUUGUCCAAUAUCCCUUUGAAAAAUCUGCUGCUUGUUUCACACCGACCCUCAGCUGGCAUCAUGAGCCGACGGUCGUUAAUAAGAAGGUCCCAGCUCAGUGGAGCCCGGAGCAGGUCCGUGAUCUUUUCAAAAGCGCUGACAAGAAUGGUGACGGCAAACUCUCCAAGGAGGAGCUCAAGGCAGCCUUUCGGAGACUCGGAUCGCGUUGGAGCUCUUUCAGAGCUAGGAGAGCUUUACGCCAUGUAGAUGCCAACGGCGACGGCGUCAUCUCUAAUGAGGAGCUCAACGACCUUAUCAACUAUGCCCUACAAUGUGGUUAUAAGCUCUAAGCGCGCGCCAUGUUGUUAUGGGGGUGGUGUACUAGUGUUUCUGCUUAACUACUUUACAUAUCUAGAUCGAGUGUAGCCAUGCUUCCAUCUAUGUUUAAUAUUACAUAGAAGAAUCUGGGUAUGUAAUCUACUUUAUCUAUAUAGUGUCUCUGUAUAAUGAGUGUGUUAAUUUGAGUGUUAUGGUAGUGAAGGACGGAGGCGACCUCUUGUUGCCCCUCUUUGCCAGGGUAGAUGAACUAGCUAUUAGAUCGAACGUACUGCCUGUAUGUGUAAUCUAUGUAUCUCUAAGCUAAUUAAGACAAAAUUACAGAAGAAACUUCUUUAGUAAUGCGUACGAGUGCACAUUCGUAUAUGUUGGAGUAUAUUAAUCGAUGGCAAAUGGGAACAAGAUUAAAUCUAAUUAAGUGAAGCAUUCUAGCACCCGACUCAACAGCAUCUUCAAUUAUAAGUUGCAUGCACUAUUAGGAACUCCCCAGUAACUCCCAAACUCACGAACAAUUUACCUUCUCUACACUUACAUGAUAGUAAAAUUCUUUCAAUCUUGAUUUUAUUUUAUGAGUGAAGAAGCAUGAUUAGAUAAAAUUCAUGAAGCAUAACAUGCAGUAUGAUGUUUCAUUUCAUGCUGAUUUGAAAAGAUUAAUUAUAUAUCCUCAAUCCAUGAAGCAUCACUGUAAUGUGGUUUCUUAAUCAAUAAUCAAUUGAUUAUCUCUCACUUUAACUAAUCAUGAAUAAUGUUGCUGUGCUUAGGUUAUCAGAUGAUUAUAAAAUCACCGGCAUUCAUGUAACUCGAUCAAGAUGCUUUGUACUAAAGGCCACCCCAUGGCCAAUAUAUAAUGAAUUCUGAUUCGCACCAAUCCAACAUAUAAUUAUGUCGAUCAAGUUAAUGUCUGAGAUUAAUUUACUUGAUACAAACCUCCAGCAAAGGCGGAGUAGCUUAUUACCUGAAUUGGUAGCUCGAUCUGAAAAGAAAAUAUGCAUGCAAUUAUAUUAAGCUUUAAACGAAGAGCAAUGCUACUAAACUAUUCAAAAAGGAUAUUAUGGAGAUGUUCAAAAAGAAGAAGAAGAAUAUAUGACAAGCAUAUGAAGGAUAUCAUGAGACUACAAAAGUAGGUUGAACUAAUAUUCCUUCUUUUUUUUAUUAGUGGUGUAGUAGUGUUUCUGCUUAACUACCUUACAUAUCUCUAGAUCGAGUGUCGCCAUGUUUUCAUCUAUGUUGAAUAUUAGAUGGAAGAAUCUGGGGCCAUAUAUAUAGUGUCUCUGUAUAAUGAGUGUGUUAAUUUGAGUGUUAUGGUAGUGAAGGACGGAGGCGAGCUCUUGUUGCCCAUCUUUGCCAUGCCAGGGUAUAGAUGAACUAGCUAUUAGAUCGAACGUACCCUGCCGGUAUAUGUAAUCUAUGUAUCUCUCUAACUAAGCUAAGACAAAAUUACAGAAGAAACUUAAUUAGUUUGAACUUUGAACUUCUCCAGCAAAUAAGGAUUUGCCAGUAGAUCUUUCACCAGCUGCUUUUUUGGUUCGAUGCCAAAUUUAGUUUGGUAAGUAAGCAUGAAACUUUGUAUCCCAAGUGGCUUCGCACUCGCAAAAGUUGUAUUAGUUAAGUCAAUAUCAUUGCAGAUCGAUGAAGCAUUUGUUACUGUUGUUUACCAGUUUAAAGAAAAUGAUUCUUGGUCUUAAUAAGGCCUAAGAUUUGUGACCUUAAUCCUAUGUGGUAUGUUAUGUCACCUAAACACAUCACCAAUUAAAAAAAUUAUGUAAUGUCAUUCUUAAAAAAGAAGAAGACAAUCUUAUCCUUCUAAUCUAAUGGCUCCAAAUUAUUGUCUUUUUAUUAAGAGAAAAAAUUGAAUUGUUUUGUCUUUGUUUUAUAUAAAACUACAUAUUUCUGACCUUUUCUCUCUUUUUUUGAAGGCAUAUUUCUAACCUUUUCUUUCUCUUUUUUCCUUUUCAUCACUAUCGUGCACUAAAAUAUAAUGUGAAAAUAUAAUUUUGAGAAUAUACUAGUUGGUUAAGGUGUUUAACUAACAAUUUUGAGGUCAUGGAUUCAACACGGACAUAUGUAAGGUGUGUGAGUUAUUAAUUAAUUUUUUUUUUUUUUNNNNNNNNNNNNNNNNNNNNNNNNNNNNNNNNNNNNNNNNNNNNNNNNNNNNNNNNNNNNNNNNNNNNNNNNNNNNNNNNNNNNNNNNNNNNNNNNNNNNNNNNNNNNNNNNNNNNNNNNNNNNNNNNNNNNNNNNNNNNNNNNNNNNNNNNNNNNNNNNNNNNNNNNNNNNNNNNNNNNNNNNNNNNNNNNNNNNNNNNNNNNNNNNNNNNNNNNNNNNNNNNNNNNNNNNNNNNNNNNNNUCUACACGUACAUAUAAUUCGUCCAAAAGAAAGUUUAUAUACAUAUAUAGGUAAUUCAUCCAAAAAAAAUUGAUAGAGACUUUUUUAAAAAAAUAAAAUAAAAAAUUCGAUACAGAAUAUAUAGAACUAAAUUUAGAUAUAUAGAUAUCAGAAUUCUAACCCGUAAAAUAAAUAUGAAAAUUGAUAAGUUAAAAGUCUAUAACGUACUAAAUUUAGAUUCACAAAGUUGGAAGGAAAUUUUAAUAAAUUUUAUGGUAUAAAGUCUAAUUUGGUAUGAUUAUUAACUUGGUCAUUAUUGACAAAUUAAAUUUGGUAUAUGCAUCCAUAUUAGGAGUGUAAGAAUAUAUUUCUUAUUAGCAUGUACCAGUUGUUUUUGAGCCCAGUGGGUAUUUUUGGUCCAAGACUCAGGGUAGUUUUGGAUAACAUUUGGGCCAGUACCUGUGGCCCUUUUUUAAUGCGAAGCCCACGAAGGGUGGCGAAGUCUGGCAACACGCGAGUUGGAAUUGUGCAAGGAUUCUGAUACCUCGCGGGAUUCGAUGUCCUCGCGGGAUCCUUUGUUCUAGUUCGUGUAGGAUUCUACAGUGCAUGGCGAGGUAGAGUUGGAAAUGGACUGUAGUACCCGUGGGAUAGGAUCGCUUAGUGCUCGAGUUCGCGUACAACGCUACAGUGAUAUGAUGCGGGGCGGUGAGCGAGACCUAGGCGAAGCCUGUUUUGGACACGUGUUGCAUGGAUCGCGCGGCUCGCGAGCUGGUCAUUUCCUGGUGGAAUUCUAAUUGCUGAGUCCGAAUGGAUUUGUGAUUAGGUCUCUGCGAAUUGCUUGCGGAUCGCUAUAUAAAGGAGUUUGACACAACGAACAAAACACACAAUCAAUCAUACAAAACAACUACAAAUCUUCGAGCAUCCUCGAAACCCUAAGUUCUAAGUGCACCUCGCCUUAGAUCUCAGAGCCCGUCUGUACUCGCCUCUCUUUCCCAAUUGUUGCUCUGCUCGCUUCGAACAGUGAGUAUCGAUUCACAGGUGACUAGAUAGUUUGCUCGUAAUUCCUCGCCCGCGAGGUGACACCGGAGCUCUACUUCGCCUGAUUAGAAGUCAAGAACGCGCACCGUUCUCGUUCCGCGUCCGCGCGGUGGCACGCCCUGCAAACCCUAAUUUACUUUUGGUAGCACAAGUUACCUCUCUACCCCUGCUGAGGAUCGUGGCCAAAACACCAGUCAUUAAUUGUUAGGGUUAAUAUUGUAUUUUUACUAAAGAAUGAUAUGACAUGAUUUAUUAAAUUGAUGAUAUGUCUAAAUGACAUGAUAUGUCACAUAAGAUUAAGACAAUAAAUCUUAAGUCUUAUUAAAACCCUCUAAUCUUAGGUCUUAUUAAUUUGACCAAUUCACUCCUGUAGAAAAGCUCCCAAUUCAUUCCUUUUGACCAAGUCAAUCCAUUAUGCUCUGUGAAUAUAUGCGAUCUUUCGCAGGCUAUGUUAUUAGUUAUUAUAUGGGGUUGAGAAGUUAGAAAUCGGAUUUCAGAGGACUGGGAAAAGAAAAGACAGGACUGCAUAAACAAUAUUGGACUUUAGUUAUACCUAUUACCUAGCUACAAUAGGCAUCAUAUAUAACUUCAAGCAGACAAAAUAAUUUUACUUCAAGCAGACUAUAGCUAGUACAUGUAUCCAAUUUGUGCUGGAUGAAUAUGCUUGAAAGAUUUUAAUGGUUAAACACCAUUUCAUUAUGUAAGAUACUAAAUAAGAUUAUCAUCUUGCUAAUAAAAGUGAUUAAUGGUUGAUUAGGAGUUUUAGUGUUUAGCCUAGCAUAAUAGUUAAGCUAGUACGUAGUGUUAAUCGCAUCGAUUCAUAAAAUAUCCCCAUGCCAGAUCAGAAAGAUGUCUUAAUAUAAUAUAUAGGAUCCAAUCCAAAGUGCAGAUGCACAGGAACACUCUAGCUAGCUCUUGCAGAGCACACUAUAAAUUUGAUCUCGCGCUCUAACCAGUGGUACAAGCCUUUAUUGCAGAGACAGCCAGAAGUCCAGAACUAGUUGAGCCAUAUAUAUGAGGUUUGUCCAAUAUCCCUUCACACCGGUCCUCUGCUGGCCUCAUGAUAAGAAGGUCCCUGCAGCUCAGUGGAGCCCGGAGCUGGUCCGUGAUCUUUUCAAAAGCGCUGACAAGAACGGUGACGGCAAACUCUCCAAGGAGGAGCUCAAGGCAGCCUUUCGGAGACUCGGAUCGCGUUGGAGCUCUUACAGAGCUAGGAGAGCUUUACGCCAUGUAGAUGCCAACGGCGACGGCGUCAUCUCUAAUGAGGAGCUCAACGACCUUAUCAACUAUGCCCUACAAUGUGGUUAUAAGCUCUAAGCGCGCGCCAUGUUAUUAUGGGGGUGGUGUACUAGUGUUUCUGCUUAACUCUACUUUACAUAUCUCUAGAUCGAGUGUAGCCAUGUUUCCAUCUAUGUUGAAUAUUACAUGGAAGAAUCUGGGGCUAUGUAUAUAUAGUCUCUGUAUAAUGAGUGUGUUAAUUUGAGUGUUAUGGUAGCGAAGGACGGAGGCGUUGCCCAUCUUUGCCAGGGUAGAUGAACUAGCUAUUAGAUCUAACGUUCCCUGCCUGUAUAUGUAAUCUAUGUAUCUCUUCAACUAAGCUAAGACAAAAUUACAGAAGAAACAUAUUUAGUAAUGCGUACGAGUGCACAUUCGUAUAUGUUGGAGUGUAUAAAUCAAUGGCAAAUGGGAACAAGAUCAAAUCUAAUUAACUAAUCAAGUGAAGCAUUCUAGCACCCGACUCAACAGCAUCUUCAAUUAUAAGUUACAUGCACUAUUAGGAACUCCCCAAAAACUCCCAAACUCACGAACAAUUUACCUCUCUAUAUAACUUUGUCUACAAAUCGAACACGUACAUGAUAGUAAAAUUCUUUCAAUCUUAAUUUUAUUUUAUGAGUGAAGAUGCAUGAUUAGAUAAAAUUCAUGAAGCAUAACAUGCACUAUAUAUGAUGUUUCAUGCUGAUUUGGAAAGAUUAAUUAUCCGCAAUCCAUGAAAGCAUCACUGUAAUGUGGUUUCUUAAUCAAUAAUCGAUUAAUUAUCUCUCACUUUAACUAAUCAUGAAUAAUGUUGCUGUUCCUAGAUUAUCAGAUGAUUAUAAAAUCAUCGGCAUUAAUUCAUGCAGUAACUUGAUCAAGAUGCUUUGUAAAGGCCACCCCAUGGCCAAUAUAUAAUGGAUUCUGAUUCGCACCAAUCCAACAUAUAAUGUCGAUCAAGUUAAUGUCUGAGAUUAAUUUACUUAAUACAAACCUCCAGCAAAUUAAGGCGGAGUAGCUUAUUACCUGAAUUGGUCGAUCUCAAAAGAAAAUAUGCAUGCAAUUAUAUUAAGCUUUAAACGAAAAGCAAUGCUACUAAACUAUUCAAGCUAGACCACAAAAGUAUGUUGAACUAAUAUUCCUUCUUUUUUGUUAGGGGAUACCAAUAUUUCUUUUAAUCGCUGUAAAUAUUAUUAUUACGAGACUAAUACAGUAGAAAAGUUAAAAACAAGCAUCUAUAUUAUGCUCUUGUGCUUUUGUUGACAAGCAUCUAUCUGGUGCAUCAAGGCAGGCUGCUAAGUUUUGAAUGGACUAUACCUAAGCAAAAAUGGAACCUAUAAUCUUAACAGAUUCUCUUCUAAUUUUACUUUCAUUGAUGGCAUACAGCGAGAAUCCCUGAUCACGUGACUCACUCAAGAAAGAUGCAUUCAGAAACUAGCAAGAGAGGCCAAGCCAGAGCUCACUAUAUAUAAAUUGAUGCCGCGCUCUAAACCUCUCAUAGUCAUCUCAUAUUUCAAGUGACCCAAAUUCAGGAGAAGCUAGCAUCUAUAACCAAUAAAGAAUGGUUAGGUUUGUCGAUGCUAAGCCGGUGGUGAUUCACAGGAAGCAGGCUGAAAUUCCGUGGAGCGAGGAGCAAGUCCGUCAACUUUUCAAAAGCUUCGACAGGAACGGAGACGGCAAGCUCUGCAAGGAAGAGCUCAAGGAUGCUUUCCGGAAGCUCGGAUCGCGGUGGAGCUCCUUCCGGGCUAGGAGAGCAUUACGCUAUGUAGAUUCCAACCACGACGGCCACAUUUCAAAAGAGGAGUUCAAUGAUCUUGUCAACUAUGCCCUAGAGUGUGGUUAUAAGUUAUAAGUAGUGUCAUAUUCGGGUUAGUUUUUGCCCUCAGUUAUAUUAUAUCAAGUACGAAGGAGGCAUGUCUGGUUUUAUGUCCAUAAUAAGCGUCGAAGGAGGCAGCCCCAUAAGUCCCGGAAGAAUGGAAGAUUACGAAGUAAGGAGGCGACCUCUUGUUGCCCUUAAGGGUGGAUAAAGUAACCCUGUUUCUGUAUUCAUCUUAGUAAAAUUGUAAAUAGUAAUAUAUAUACAUAAUCAACCAGGUAAGUGUUAUAAUCCUUGUGCUCUGGUCAUGCAAUAUAUGCCUUUUCGCUAGUACUAGGAUUCUAUUUUUGAUAUACCAAAGAAAAGGAAUAAAAAGAACACAGAUCUCUUCAAACCAAAAACUGAUUUCUUUCCAAGAAUUAAAAUGAAAGACUUUAAAGAUGAAGAAGGUAAAACUCGCUCGGAUUAGCUAGGAACUGUUUGGCGCACUCAAUCAUUCAUAUCCAUAAAUAUAGAAUCCAGUCAAUCGUUUCUGUACGAUAAGAUAUCCGUUUGAGAUAUUGACUCGUAGAAUACAACCAGCUAGAGGCUCGAAUAGAAUCCCACUCUAAUAUACAGUAGUAUGAAAACACAGAGAAUAUCACUUAAUUGGAAACCCUCCAUGCAUCAUAACCUGUACAUGCCAGUUCCUUGAGUAAAUCAGGUUCUUCCUCAACGGUUCGUGCAUAUCCUUUCGAUUCUCAUAACCAAUAUAGAACACACCAAAGAACUAUAGCUAGCCAGCCUCAGAAGAGCAGCGCUCUUUUACAACAGAGAUUUGACCAAAAUCCACAAUUAAAUCACUGUUUCUGGUUCUGAUCGGGAGUUAGCUAGGUGGAGGGGCCAUGCGUGCCACAAGGCGGUCCAUACACAGGAUCGGAGCACCACGGUGGAGGAUGAGGCAUCUAUCCCAGGACGAGGAGGUGGACCUUGCAUUACCGGCCGUGGCGGAGGCGGUAGAUAUAUGGUCCCUCAUCAGUCAUCAUCUGGCCAGGAGUCCUCAUUAGUAUCUGAUGGAUGAGAAAACUGCACUGGUACGGUGGAGGACCUGGGAUUUGAGGUUGAGGUGGCCGGACAGCCAUGCCGAGUAAACUGUACAUGCAUGGAGGAGGUGAAGGCGUGGUCCCCGCCCUGCCGAGCCAUCUGUGACGGCCCCUAGCUAGCCUGCCUUGGAUAUCCAGGGCAUCUGGCCAGGUGGUCUGGAUAUCAAGAAUCAUUUGUAUAAAAGCUCAAGAAAUUACUCUAAAUGGUUUAAUCAUAUAUCUAAGGUUCGUCCAGAAAAAUAGUAACAUACAUGACUGAUGAAUUUUGAUAUACCACCAAUUCACGGACAGACUACGUACUUUAAGUAGAAUAUCGAUCAAAAUUAUGUGUUUGUAUGAGAUCAAAAUCGGAUGAAAUUUGGCAAAAAUGAUUUAUACAUUAGGUUCUAAAAACAGAACGGCGGAGAUAUGGAUAUGUGACCGAAAAGUGAGUGAAAAAAAAACAUUCACACUUUAAUUUCAGACUUUAAUUUCAGAACGAAUGUUUGCUCUAAAUAGAAACUAAUAUAUAUAUAUAUAUAUAUUUAUAAUGAACUAUCUCAAGCUCUUUUACUCGAUUAUCAGUUUCAAUUAUAUAUGUAAUUCAUGUUGUUGUGACGGAUCAACUCCACAAAAACCCUAAAUCCUAAACCCUAAAUCAUUUAUCCGGACAUAUGGUGAACACAUCUGUACGCAUAAAGUCGUAAACCAUCUUAACUUUAAUACGAUUUGUCAGACAAAAAUAUAAAAGUAAAAUAACUUUUAUUUGAUGUGAGAUAUAUGUCGGCAAUAUAUUCGUUCCCAUGUUUUUGCUGGUACAAUAUUCCUUUGCUUUUAUUCAUCGCUUUUACUCUUAUAGAAGCAAUACAUGUGCCACACGACGUGCCUGUAUGUUUCAGAAUAUCGAUCAACUGUACCUCAGUUCAGAACCCUUUGGCAAGUAAUUCGGGCUCGUUGAUUCGAUUCAAAUAAAGCUUCAGAUUUGAUAUAGCUAGUCUUCAAAUUUUCUAAAAGCUUUAUACUGAUUGAUGUGUUUGCCUCUACAGAUAUUUUCUUUCGGUUCUUAUCCUAAAGAAUCUACCAUACAUGGUAGCAACUAGCAAGGGACACUUGCUGAUAUUCCAUUCACUUCCUUAUAGGUGAAUACUUCAAUCCCCAAGAAUCACAUAAAUUUAAAUCCAGCCAUGUGCAAGAUGCCCAAAAGAAUAGGAAUGACCGUCUCAGCCAUUCGAUUUUGAUUCUAGCUAGUUUUUCCAAACUUUUGAACUAAAACUGUACGUGGAUGCAGAAGAGCUAGGGCAAGAUAUAGAAUCCACAAGAGAUGCCUCUAUCUCCUUGACUUAAAGCGGUCUCAGGGUCUUGAUACGAUCCAAUAAUUCAAGAUAUUAGUUAGGAGAUCUUCUACCAUAUAUAGUAGUAGGGAAGAUCAUGUUCUUCCAGCACUUAGGGGUCUGAUUUCAAUUGCUGAAUAUUAUUAGAGAAUCCUUGAACCCUUUUGACCAAGUAAAACAAGCUUGGAUAUAUCCAUUAUUAUAUAUCGAUAUCUGUUAUUAUCACUUGCGCCUAAUAAGAAUUAUGGAUUUAGUGUAUUAAAAUGCAGAAAUUAGUAAAAAAAAAAAAAAAAAAAACACUUUAGAGGCUACAUUGUGGCGAUGUAAAAUAUAGGUUACAAGAGUUUAUAUAGCUAGGCAGCAAAAUAACCAAAACACCCUGUUCUAUAUACUCCUAUAAUUCUAACAGAGCCAUGUUAAACCCGUAAGCUAUAGCUACAUAUGGUCAUGGGAAAUAUUGUUAAGGAUGCAAGUAAUAUAGUUAUUCCAAUUGCUACAUUACAAUUUUGGUACAUAAAACACCUGACUGGCUCUCCUAAAAUUGGAAUAUAUACAGGGGAGCGUCCCAGAGCCCUAUAUAUAGAUGUAUUCUCAAUCCAGUAAUGGAUCACAUACAGAUUCAUAGUGCUGUAAGUGGUAUCUCAUCCAAACAAGCCCUAACUUUCAGCAGAUAUGCCUCCGAGAAGACCCCGAGUCACUACGGUGAUUGAGAAUAAGAAAGUCGAUGUUCCGUACACUAAGCAGCAGAUCGAAGAUAUUUUCAAAAGCUAUGACCAGAACGGAGACGGCAAGCUCUCCUGGGACGAGGUGAAGGCAGCGUUCGCUAAACUCGGGGCGUUUUCGCCCUACUUCAGAGCCUGGCGAGGGAAAAGCCGUGCCGAUGCCAACGAAGACGGCUUCAUCUGUCUUCAGACCGAGCUCGAUGAACUUGUCAACUAUACUCUGGAACUACAGUAUAAACUGUAGUAACUAGAUCGACCAGCGUCUGGUUCAUGCUUCAGCUUAAUUUCUAUACUGUGUGAAGCAGCAAUAACGUACAGUUGUAAUUUGUAAGCGACUUAGUGAAGGAAGGUGGUGAUCUAUCGUAACGUACGUACGUAGCCCCUCUUUUGUACGAACUCAGUUUCUAAUUACCAAGUUAAAAUAAGAUUCAAGAUAUUCUCUUGCUACUUGGGAUGUUUGUAGAUCAUUUAUCUAAUUGAUCGAUGUCAGGCACUCUAUUAUUCUUGCUUAAAUCGGGUGGUAUUUAAUAAAUUAAGCUAUUCUAGUUUUAGCUCGAAAUAAUUGUGUUUACACCUCCUAAUCAUAUCCUUACAAAAUGUGGGCAAUUUGAUCAAAUAUUAAAUAGUUAUUGAACCUUUUCUUGUUAUAGAAAAUUUUCUAUCGAUCAUUCUCCACUCAACUCUGUCCCGACUAUAGUUUUUUUACAAAAACAAUUUGACGAAUACUGAAAAGUGAGAAUGCCCAAAUAACAUGCACGUUUAAUCCUUCUUCUUCUGGGUUUCUUUCGUUUUUUUCCUUCUUUUGCAGCUCCUCAUCCCCUUGCCUUCGUACCUCUCUCUUCACAGCUAUUCACUUCUUCUUUGAUAGAUUAGUCGUUAGGAAUGGCGGAACACAAUCGGGUUUUGCAUAUGGUGGCAUGUUAAUAAUCAAUUUGCUUAAGUUCGUUCUUCCCCUCUUUCUUCAAAUCUAGGUUUUUGUCAAUUUAAUUAUUAAAAAUAUCAUGAAUUUGUGAAAUUUGUCUUGUUUUUGUUCAACUCUAGUCCUCACAGACCCUUAUUUUGGUCUGAUUUCCAUUGAAGUACAGGUAAGGUUUAAGCAGAAUUGAGGUUUUUCCAGAAUUGGGGUUUACCCAUAAUUGAGAUUAAUAAUGUGUUGAGCAACUGUAUCAUAAUAUUUUAUAUAUAGAUCUGUAAUUGAUCGUAAGGUGAUCGAGGUUUCCAUCAAAUCGCAUACACUUUGUAAUUCGAUGAGAAGAACAAAGGAUCCAGAUGAGUCAAAAGAUCCAUGUCUAUUUUCGAAAUUCUAUGUUCUUGAUAUCAUGUUUACCAAACACUGUAGCAGUACUUAUUUUCACCUCAAUACUUUCAAAUAUAUGAUUUACCAAACACUAUACCGAGAUUUUUGACAACAGAUUAUUUUUACAACCGAGUUAUUUUAAAGUCGAGUUUAUAUACCUCAGUACCAAACUGGACCUAAUCUUUCUUUCUCGUUUAUAUAACCUCAUUCGAUGAAAGCACUAAUUUACUGUAGUUAAUCACUGUUUAGAAAAGUAGGAGCGAAUCUAAGCCUAACAAGAAUAAUUGUUAAGAAAAAAUGGGUGAGAGAGAGAGAGAGAGAGAGAGAGAGCUCCAGCACCAACAUAUUAUAAAUAGCUAGGAUCUUUCAAGGGUUUCACAGCGCACCAUCUUGUUCCAGCUUCCAAAUACUACAAGCCAGAUUAUACAAAUUACUCUAUGACGAUUAAGAGCAAGUGUGUAGCUAGUGAUGGCAAACGUGUUAUGACCACCGAGGAGUUGAAGAAGUGGCUGAAGAAAUUUGAUACUGAUAAAGAUGGCCGUAUAAGCAAAGAGGAACUCCGCCAGGCUAUCCGCUCCACCGGCGGACGCUUUGCCACGCUCAAGAGCCGGCGUGGGUUACGAUCCGCUGAUGUCGAUCAAGACGGCUACAUAGGUGAAGAAGAGCUCGACAACCUUGUUGAGUUUGCACAGAAGCAUUUGGGUGUCAAAAUUAUACACUUUUGAUCAUCAGUUCUAUCUAUAUACAAUCAUCUGUGUUGUAUUCGAUCUCUAUCCGAUGAGUGACUUAUAGAUGCAGCUGUGUUGUAUUCUCUAUUGGAUGAGUGACUUAUAGAUGCAGAAUAAAUGCAAGUGUGCUACUGUAGCACCACCAGGGUCAUGCACUGGCAGGGGCUAUGGAUUGCUUUAGUAGUUCCUCCUUAAUCCAUAUGUAUCUUAUUCAUUUGUAAGGAGGAACUACGAAAUAAUUCUCAGUUGGAAACCGAUAACUAAUACAGUUCUUACGGGUUCUUGCAGUAAAACUAAUCAGUAGACCUUCACAAAGGAUCAGAACAAUUGUAUAAGAUAUGAGAAAUGAAUUUACAUUCCUAAAAAAAUUUAUGUACAUCAAAUAUAUGUGCAAAUGCCUAUUACCUAUAUUGGUUUCCGAUAAUACUUACAAACUGAAGUGUUCAUGGGACUAAAAUACGUGAAGUCGUGAACUGUACAAAAUUGGAUUUAACAGAAGAGAAACAAUGAGAGAAACUGGAGCAGUAUAGAGGUGAUACUGGUUCAACCGUUCUCUGUAUGUCUUCCAUAUAUUGCUUCAAGUUACCGCUAUAUCAGCCAGCUCAAUAAGGAAGCAAAGCAGAACUGCAGAACUUCAGCGAUUAUAUUCUGAAAGUUCAGUGGAUGCUGCACCAUCAUUCUACAACCCAGAACUCCAUACCGAGUUUUCUGACAGAUGAAGCAAAUGUGAAAUUGGGAUUUACCUCAACAGUUCUGAAACAAGUGUCGCAAAACUCAUCUGUCUGCAUAUCUAGAAAGGACCAAAGAAGGCCUAAAACUCUGUUUGACACCUCAACUGACAUCAGGUGGUGGGAGUCUCCAGAAAUUCCACGAAUUAAAGUCCUCCUGUAAUCAACAGGGGAAGGAAAGCAUGGUCAGAGGGGUUCCAACUGACUUGAGUAUUUAAAACUUGUUAGCAUGGCCGAAGAAAAGUCGCAGAACCAAUACCUGCUCAUUUGAGGAGGUUGUAGGGGGAAACAUGUCAUUUACAAGAGCAUGAAGUGAAGUAUAUGUCUUUGCGUCAACACGGCGGUUCACAACAAUCUCACCCUGCAUUCCCAAAUCAUCAGAAAAACAAAAGUGGCAUUUGGAAGAGAUACAUUACAAAUUUCAAUAUAACUGCUACGUUGUCAUGAAGGACUUGAUUACCUUGGGAUUAAUGAUGAAGAUUUUACCCAAGGGGAUUCCAACCUUGAGGUAGCUGAACUCAUCAGUGUCUCUGUUUCCAAAACCAGCAUAGAACGGGUUGCAAUCAGGAGGGAACAACGAUUUGAUAUCCUGAAAAGGAAAACAGGAAAAUUUAACAUAUACAAACAAAACAAAUGAUGCGACUGAAAUAUUACCAAAAAACAUUCUGAUACUCACACACUGAUCAGUCAAAGAACAAAUAUUAGCUAAUAAUCCCACUACAUCAGUAUAUUAUUAGUUAGCAAAAAAAUUAUCAAUAGACCACAUUGCAAAGAUAUACAAUCAAGACAAAUCUUAUGGAACAAAUUAUAGACCAUCAGGAAUAUGGUAAAAGAUACGUAGGAAGAUACAAGUCUAUGUCACAAAUGGAGAGGCAGAAAGUAAGGAACCUCUAAGCAUGCAAUCUUGAAUUCAUGAGGAGCCCUCCGAAUAACUGUGAUAAACAGAGCAAGAGUCAGUUCAAGCAUUAUAAAAUUAGGAAGGAUUCAGUGACAAGUACUAUGAUGUGGCGUAUGUCCAUUGAGGCUACUUCUUAGUAUACGGAACACCAGUAUUUUGCUUUGUUGGCAUUUAAUUGUUUCUCUCAAUUAACACAUUAUUGAACAAGAAAAGAACAUGCUCCAACACUCUAUAAAGCAGUUCACCACUUCAGCUCUAUCAUGAAAGCAAAUGUAAAAAUGGCCAUUCGAACACGCACAAAAGACACAUAUCUAUGAAAGUUAAGUUCUAGUAAAAUGGGCGCAUACACAAAAACUCACCUUCCCGAAAAAGAGAAGGAAAAAGUCCAUCAGGAGAAAUAACAACAGGCCCAUCAGGUAAAGCCUUCCCAUCCUGUACAUAUGGAAACAAAGAUAAAAAUAAAAUGAUAGUUUCUUUAUUUAGAAAAAGAAUGCAGACAUUUGAAGUAUUUAGCAUGAACAAAGUACCGACCUGCUUAAGGUUAAACAGAAAUUGUCGCGUCUGAGAGGACUGAGAAAUAGCACGUGCACUCAAAAAAAGUAAUUCAUAUCCAUUUUCCUGCAUCAUAUUAAAAAUAAUAAUUAGCUCUCUGAAAGAUUAGGCCCCGUGAGUAGUAAAAUAUAAAAAGCAUAUAAUAUUUGCAGGAGGCAAUGGUACCAUGUGAUGAGACAAAAACAAACCUUAAUGGCUGAAAACAAAUGUGUGACACCUGUUUGUGACCAAUCUACACCAACCAAGGGCAUGAACUGACCUAGAACGUCUGAUCUGUAAUAUGAUGCAAUUCAAGCAGAUCAGGCAAAUAAAAUAAAGUUCCCAUUUUGGUUCAAGAAAACCUCUUGUUUUCAUACAUUUAUCUUGUCAACCAUUUUAGAACAUACCCUUGAUACCAUUUAUCUAAUCUGAAAUAUCUAGUUUACUUCAUACUUUUUGCAAGAUGUAGGACAAAACAUGAGCUCAAGGAAUUCUCGAAAAUAAAGUAUUAGAAAAAAAAGGUUGCUAAAUAAUAGCCUUACUUUGUGAUUGUCCCAUCCACAUCUGAGAUCACUAUACGGGUAUUCCAUUUCCAAAGAUAAAUUCUGGCAUCAACCUGUAGUGAACCGAAAAUGAUAAGAAAGCAUAGUAAGUACGUCUUGAAGUACGUAUAUCUGGAACACAUAAGACGACAAACAAAUAAUGUAAAAAAAAUAAUUAAUUGUCACCAAGACUGACAACUCAGGAAUAUAUUACCUGCUGAUUUCCUAGCAUUGCAGUAGAGAACGUGAACGUUACUGUAUUCCUCCCUUCAUUUAGAUUUAAGGAUGCCAACUGCUCAGAUGUUGGAGAGGUUGCCCUUUCUGUUUUCUUCAUCCCCUUUGGUGUACGCACAGAGUCAAUACUAUCCACACCAACCGCGCUUUCUGCAGCAUUCUCAACUUCAGGACUUCCACAAUCAUUCAGAUUUGGUUGCAGAGCCUUCUGGGAAUUUGGAUUUGGUUGCAGAGCCUUCUGGGAAUUUGUUCUCCUGAAACGGAAAGGCCAGAGUUUCCAUCUUCCACUAGGGGUAACACUUGCCUCUGAGGGAUCUCCUGUAAUGUUUUUUCUCAACUUGGUCAACAGGUAUCAUGCAUCUAGGCCCUUAAACAAUGGAUACAAUUAUAAAACAAUAAAAGCAGCUACAUCCUAAGGAAUAUAAUUGCCUUUGAUUCUGAUAACAAGCAGCUAUGACAUUGGAAUUUACAUAACAUUGCAAUCCAGGCAAUAAGUCUAACUAAGAAGAAAAUGGACUAUUAUCAGUUAUUAAAAACCAGAUUCCACGGACAGUCAUUUUACUCCGACAUGGAAUAUAUCAUUCUGUAAACACUAGUGGAAAAACAUACAUGUGUAGUCUAUUUCAGCAUAAAACACACAAACACAUAUGCACACACAACAUCAAUUCAGGGCAUGAAAAUUCAGAAAAUUAGCACAUCAUACAAGGUUAUAUCCAAGUGUUACCUAGUGCAGGACUGCCGGGAACAUCUUUGAGCUCCGCUAGCUCCGCUGUAUCCUCAGCAUUCUCAGUGUCUAGCUUUACCAGAGGUGACUGUUGAUCUUUGUCCAACUUUACACAGCUCAGAUCAUCUCUAUUUUGCUGUAUCCACUUCAAGGUUUUAGCUUCUGAGUCCAGCGAAUGGCUCAAAGGACAAUCAAGAUCCAGUGCACUCAAAUUAUCGGCCUGAUGCCACAUAAUGGGCAAUGAUUCCACCAGCCUCCCAACUUCCUUAUCAGCAGCCCUAUGAUUUCUAGGGAUGUCGACUGUAGUUGAUGCUGCGUUAAGUUUUCCGAUAACUUUCUCAAAACCAGUUGAGGGGAUUUCUUGAGUACACUUUUCUGGAGAUGAAGAUGACUCAUAACUUGUACUGACUGCUGACCCACUCAAUUCUUUACUGCCAUCCGGACUACACAAGACACUAAUUUCUCCAUCUACACAAUGUGAAGAAGUUGACUCUGCGCAUUGAACCUUAGUGGUGUUGAGUUCAUCAGAGUCACUGAAAAGAAAUUGUUCUUCUUCUAGUCUUGCCAGUGGCACCACACUUGCGGCUUCAGUGAUUUCAGAACCACUAAUGUACCCAGAAGAUGUUUGGACUUCACAUGAGAUAUCUUCACCUUUAAAUUCUUUCUUAUCAUGAAGUUUACGGUCAGAGUUGCUUAACCUAGAAAGGAUAUGUGACUCAAUCUCAACUGAAUCGGGCAAUGCACUAUUAUGGACCAUUUGACUACAGUCCUCUGCAGCUUUAUCUGGCUCCCUAAGGUCCCCAUUACGGUUACCCGUGCAAGAAUGACGAUCUGUUUCAGGAGUCUCCAAUGGUUGCACCUUUAAGGCAAUAUCUUCAACAAACUGCUCAGUAACUGCAUCCUGAUCAAGAACACACAUACUUGGUCUCAACCAAUGAAAAAUAAAAUUCUAGUGUAUAAUAUAAAAGAACAUUAGUCAAGGGGUAAUUUCUAAUUAAAUUAUAUUUCCUCAUAUUCAACACAUAUUUGUUGCUAAAUAAGUCAUAAGAAACAUGACAUCCACACAUUCCAAACUAGUUUUAAUAACCCUUAUGUACCGUUGCAAGGGAUUCCAAGAGAGAAAUUACCUUAGAGAGCAGUUCAGUUCUGGCAUGAACUGCUUUGGCGUGAACAUGAAUGCUUCCACUGUCUCCUCUAGUAAUGUAAAGCUUUUCAUGAGUUUGUUUGCUGGAACCAUCUAUUCCCACUACUGAGCUCUCUGAUGAUUCACAGUAUAUAAAGGAUUUAUCUUUAUCUAUUUUAACAUCCUUCUGGGAAACGCCACAGCCAGCUCGUACAACACCUUUGUCAUCACUAACCUGUCCAACAAAAUGCUUGCCAGGAAAUGCUUCCCCCUCUACUGAGUGUGGACUUGAACCACCCGAACCUGUGAUAUUGGAUACAAGCACCUUCACAUUGCCAUCAUUUUCAGUUACUCCAGACUCAUCCAAUUCUCUGCAUACUCUAGACACUAUACCCGAGGAGUUUAAACAUGAAAUUAGACUAGCUUCCUCCACAUAACUAGGUGAUUUGUCAAAGCCAGACAGAGGAGCAUUGCCUAUCUGGGCAUUGCAGAAGGCGGUCGCCCCCCGCAAAGCACAAUCAGGUAGAGAUGAGCACACUCGGCGGUGCUCGGAACUAAUCUGCAUAUCUUCAUCGACUCCACUCUCCAAUAUAUCAGGACAAGAAAGACGAGAACUACCCUCUUUCCUAGCUUUCUUGGUGGCAAGACUAGUGGACCAUUUCACCUCCAAAAGGUUGGCUGCAAACUCAGCACGCUCCAAAGAAUCCGCCCUUCGAACUGUGCUAUCAUCACCCUCUGCCUCCUCUUUAACCAUCAUUCUCUCUUUCAUUGACCUGCUUCCAAAUAUCCCAAAUAUCCGUGACUUCCGGGAAUUAGUCCUGGACAUUACCUUCCCAUUGCACUUAUCUUUCUGAUCAACAAUCAAACUUUCAGCAUCAUAAUUGCAACUUUUGGACUUCAAUGGCUGCCUCUUUUCUCGAGAUUGCUCAUCCGUCUCAUCACUGGAAGACGAGGAAGGAAACAACACAGAUUCCCCUUCCUUUGCAUCAACCUCCCUAAGGAAGUAAGCCUCCCCUUUAUUAUCCAAAUACAUGUGGAAACUAGCUUCCUCUCCAUUUACACAAAUGUUCACCACCUUCUCCUUGGACUUCAAAACCCCUUGAAAUUUCCCAAACCGAACAUUCCAUGCCGAAGACUUGGAGCUCCCAUCUUCUUGUUGAACUACUAUAAUAUCCACAGCUCCACCAAAAGGGUGAAAAGGCCCCGAGACGUUGUAUACCCCCCUCGAGAUGUAACUCCCUAACCUCCCAACCGCAUACAUCCUCUCCUCUCUGAUAUCUCAAACCACCCAAUUCCCAAAAUCUCGAAACUCAAUCAUAAUUUGCAAAGCCUGUUGAUUUCCUCAAGAAAUCUGCAGGCUUGUUUCCUCAAAGCAACAAACUUUAAUAAAAGCCAACACCAAAACUACAUCAAAAUUAAAUCUUUGAGACCACCCAGAUGACCAAUCCGCCAGACUACAUUAUAAUUCAACAACCCAAAUGAUCAAAACCCAUAAAUUAACCGUCUUUAGCUCAAAAAAAUCAUUGCAUGAAUCAGAAACUAUCAAUAGCCCGCUCAAUGAUCUCAACCCUUAUAUUCAAAACAAAGAAAACAAACCAAGAAAGCAAGCAUUAAUCUAGAUACCAAAUCCAAAGCCUCUUAAAAAUAAGUUGUCUCUGAUCAGAAACACUACCAAAGACGGAACCCAAUUAAAGAAAGGUGUUGAUAAGCAACAGGGAAGACAUUAGCGGUUGGCUGGUGCAGCAUAUUCGGUUCUUAUUUAUUCGAAUGUACCGUCGAACUAUUCCUCAUUAAAAUUCCAACCAUAAUUUUUAGACAAAGACUAAAACAUAAACAACACAAUGAUCCAUGCGUCUGAGAUAUACCAAAGUACGAAACUGACCUGAAUUGGAAGGGAGGUACGAGAAGGAAGAAAGAAAGAAACGGGGUUGGAGGCCCUACAGAGAUAAAGAUCGUAAGUUUUAACUUGGGUUUGUUUUCUUCAAAAUCUCAAAUAGGAACACGUUGGCAGUGCAUCUCUGUUUUGGAAGUGGCAAUAUAGUUAGGUGGAGGUUUGAACUAUGACGCUUUUCUUUAUUACGUCAUUCUUUGUUUUGCCGCCAUGUGGGUCGUCUCAGCAGCAUAGAUUAGAUCCUUCUGGAUCAUUAUUAUAGAGAACCAGGGGAGCUGUACACGACCCCUACAUGGGAAAGAGGAAGCUUUACGAGAACAUGAACAUGCUUAGUUUCUAAAGAUGGAUUCAAUCAUUGAAAUAAUUCUCGGCAUGUUUUCAUGUUUUUGUUGUUCUUAGGUGUAAUAAUAUUGAAUGUUUUAUUAUUGGAAUUGAAAUUUCGUGAUGAAAUUUAUACCGUAUUUUAUAAGCAUGUAAGUGACUUCUAAAAUUGUAAACGAAAUGAUAAAAAAAUAAUUUAAAAUACGUCAUUACGCUUAUUAAUAUCUUCACGUAGUUUUGUAUAAAUGAGUAUGUAUUCGUGGUUAAAAAGUAGUUUAGAAAUAUGACCAGUUGGUCAUCCCUCAACCAUGGUGAGGUGUGUACGUAAGCUGUGUUUAUGACCGGAUAUUUGAGUUGUGCUACUUCCGAUACUAUGAUGCUCUAUGAUCAACAAGCCAAGUCAAUGUUGUGUUGUAACUAUAUGCUAUUUUAGUUACUUGGAAAUCCAAAAGACGAUAAGAUGAGCAACUUUAUCUAUAGGUAUAUGUAUGUAGGGAUACUCAAACUUUGUAACUUGAAUGUUCUGGUGCUGAUUAGAUUUGAAUCCAUCAUGUCCACUGUGUUGCAGCCUAACUGGUAGAGUUGUGUAUUCUUCUAUAUAAACUUUUGUUCGGCUCAUUUGGUUUGGGGAGAUUAGUCCAGGCCUGUUUUGAUUUUGCACCACAGGCCCAACUCUGGUUUCCCGUUUGAUUUAUUCAGUAUUAGACCGAAUUGAUUAGUCCAAGUACAUACACAAAGUUUAGCAAAUCUUCCCAGUCCUGUCUGUAAUAUAUAUCAAAAGAAACAAAAAGACUAUAAAGCAUUUUGUGUUUUACAUGAGGUUUAAUCAUGAUUAAAAUGAUAGCUUAUUAGCUCUCCUUGAGCCCAACAACAAAAGCUUUUGUGGUGUCUUCCUUGGUGAUUGGGAGAACGAAUCAUGUACACUUGUAGUGGUCAAUUGCAAUGCUUUUGAUUGGGAGCUUAUAUCAGAUUAGCACUAAUCUCAGAGAGCGCAUAACAAAACCAACGAGCUUGUGUCCUAGUGUGCACUCACGAUAGUGUUGUAAACAAAGGGUUUUUGUUGUGGUGUUCUUUUCCUUUUUAUUUUCUUUUUUGGUAUACCUAAAAUGAUUAAAAGGAACAGAAGGACAGCAUUUUCAUGUGGAUCUUGAUUUUGUAGGAUUGUGAAUUGUGAAUGUCGUGAAAUCAUUAUAAUUCAAUUUGGACGUUUGCACUGUACUCUUCUUAAACCGUGCAAGCAAAUUCAAUUCGAAAAAUAAAAUUGGAAUGAAAUGAUAGUCGGAAUCAGUUGAACGGCAUCCGUUUUGACUAACCUUUUUAAGACUACUUAGACAUACAUGUAAAAUAAAGUAAGAAAAUGAAGAGAAAUGAACUACAUAUGAAAAAUACGAGAUCGAAUACAUUAUGCAAUUCUAGAUGAUGUUCAUAAACUCAUAAAGACAAUCCUUAAAAACAAUUAGCCAUCAUAUCUUAACCAAACUAUCAUGGUUCAAUUACAGACUACAGCACCUGAUGCACUUCAUCAUGUCUUUGAUGUGUCAAACUAGACCGAGUACCUUCUGCAUUAUUGAACUUAUCUAAGUUAUCUUUUUAUGAUCAUUGUACUUAUGAUCACUUUCUUGUGUUUCAGAUCCACGAAGACCAUUGCAUCGAGUCCAAUUGGUACCAUCCUCCUUUUCAUAUCAUCAUCCCCUACACACUUCUUGUUUCACAUGAACACUUCCAUUUUAAUAAAAAAAGGGGUCCGUCUUCUUUCUCAUGCACUGCCUCUUUUUGUGGGGACUAGAUAUUGCUGGUGCUAAAGUUCAUUUGUUUCUUUUAAUUUGAUCCCUCGUGUAUUUACUUUAGUGUGCGAUGAUUUUAUACUCAUACGAAUGUAUGGUUGAUGAUUGUAUUGGUUUUCCAAAACUUUGGAUGAUGGAAAAUCUUGAUGGGAAUCGCAAACACAAUCCCGUUUGUACUUGAAAGAAAUGAUCACUUGCCACAUGAGUUCAUUCUUUUUCUGGAAGUUCUUAACAUGCAGCAGCUGCCUUUACUGAUUGUUGAGAAUGAGUUGUCCGAUGAAUUGGAUCUUCAGACAUGUCACGGGACUGGGGAUACGGUGUGGCAAUUUGGUGGGCCCACAAGGUACCACACCAUUUCCGGCACCAAGAACAAAGGGCGGGAGACAAUCACGAUCUGAUUCUAACAGAAGGAGAUACAAAAGAAAGAGUAACGCUUGAUGAUCAAUCGAUUGAAAGCUGAUUCUUCCGGCUCUUCUAAAUCUAGAUUAGUUGUGUUUUAUGGGUAUGUUAUCCUUGCCUUCGGGCUUCCAUAUAAUAAAAAAUUUUUGAAAAAUAUCAAACGAUUGAAGAAUAUACUAAAAAAAAACACUCCCAAGAGCAGUGAACUCAUGUUAUUGAGAUCCGGAUAAAAGAUCAGAGUUUCGCCCUAGGUUAGGAACGAGUUAUUAUUUGACAUAUUUUGUACUUACAUCAUCAUUUCUACCUGUUCAUCGCAUUUUCUACAAUAUAACAUUUAACAGUCACAAAAUAUUUUUGAAUGCAGUAAUCUAUUAAAAAAGUUCAUUGUAUCGAACUCAUUGAGACAUCUUCAUAUAUACAAUUUUAUAUAUAUGAAAUUCAAUUUGUAUGCAAAUUAACAUUACAACAUAAUUUACCCCAGGUUCUUUCCCGUAUCUACUACUCUAAGCAUUUGAUCUUCUCUUCUGUGGCAAUGGAAUUCUUGCAAUGAGCAAUUGCAGCUUGAAUUGCUGCUUGCAACUCUUCCAUGGUGCUAUCGUUGGGAUUAGUAGGAGGAGUAGAUGCUCCUGAAGUUGCUAGAAGAAGCCCACUAUUUGUUGGAGACGUUCUCAUUGAUGCAGGUGCUGAGAACUCUCCUCUCCUUCCUCUCAAGUGAUGCCCAUUUCUGGGGCUCAAAUUACCCGAAAACGAAUAAGGCUGCCUACUGAAAUGAACAUUCUCUUUUCUUCCUCUAAAGAACAAUAAGGGCCUGACCAUUCUCGCAUACCUCUUUAGUAUAUUACUCACAUCAAACCUCAUCUUGUUCUUCUGCUUCAUCCCCUCCUUGUCCUCCCUCUCUUCGCAAUCUUUUCGCCUUUUUGGUAACCCGAAAAUGGAAAAGGACUUGGACUUGGUUCUCCCCCUCGUCUCGCCAUUGUGGCUCUUGCCGUCUUGGAUAUUGCUGCUGCUGUUGCUCUUCUUCUUGUUGAUGAUGUUGUUGCUCUCAAUGCUGGUGCUACAGUUGUUGCUUUCCUUGGUUGGUUCUUGAUCGUUCACUAAGUCUGUAAUGGGAAGAGUGAAGCUGUCUAAGGAGUUAGUAGAGGAGCGAGGAGAGACAGGAAGGUGAGAGAGGAACUGCAAAGGAAGCAAAUGGCCAUGGAAGAAAAUGUCAUCUGCAGGAGACAAGUCGAUAGCGAAAGAAGGCGGGGUUUUGGCUUUGUUUCUGUUGUUCUUGUUACUAUGAUCAGGGAGUGAUGCGGAAGAAGAGUGAUGAAGAGAGAUUGUGAAGGAGAAUUCAUGAGAAGGAGAAGAGGAAGCUGAUGGUGGUGAGGCUGUAGCUGGUGACUGUGGCUUUUCUUGCAGCAUCUUGUUGCCUGCAGCUUUUUCUCUGGUCUUUUCAAGCAGAUGGGCGGUGUCCAUAACUCAAUCAAGGAUCAGAACCCAGUUCCUGAUUCUCUCUAUCUCACUCGCUUAUUAUAAUCAGGGUCUUUGGCUUCUGUGGUUGGGUAGAGAGAGAGAGAGAAUGGGAGAGAGAGAGAGAGAGAGAGAGAGAUAAGGGGAUGAGGAAGCAGUGGAGAAAGAGAAAGAGAGAGAGGGAGAGUACUAGCUAGCUGCAGUUGGGUUUCAAGUGUCUUCUUAUGAGAAAUAUGCCACAUGACACAUUUGCAAGCAACAAAGCUUUAUUGCCAUGCAUUAUUAAUAUUUAGAGAAAAAAGAUGGAGGAUAGAGCAAGGCUGUGGUGCCCAAUGACACUAUGGAAAAUUGGAAUGAAAUGAAAAAUUUAGCUGUAUUGAUGAUAUAGGAUGCUGGGUCCUUGUCAAAAUCUAACAGCUACUGCUACUAGGAGAGGAGAGAUGAGAUUUGGGAAAUGAGGUCACAAACAUCCAAAUUUGCUCCAAAAAGGUAGAUGGCAUUGGUGAGGCAAGGACUUGGUUUUUGGGUAUGAGUCUUUGUAUUUAGUUGUUUUGCCAGGAGGGUAAGGGUCCCCAAAGACCAAGCUAGGUCAUGUUCACGUACACAUUGAACCCAUAAAUCAAAUCAACGAAGGAAUCUUUGAAUUUUCCUUUUUAUUAUUAUCCCAUUACACAGCAGCCUCCACUUAUUUUUUUGCUCCUCCCUAAAUCUAUCAUCUAUUUUAUUUCUAUGUGCACCCAAACCAGAGAAACCACAGCAGGCAAGGUGUUGUUGUUCAUGGGGUUUAUAGUUUAUCUAAGCCAGAAUGGGGCAAACCUGUAUCGUGGGAUACGAGGUAAGAUGUCACUUAUGGAAGUUGAGCUUCAACAAGUAGAGUUUUGAUCGAGGAGAUAAGAUUUCAAACCAAGCAAUGCGGAUAGAUUUCUUUCAUCUUGACCAUCUUGAUUCUCAACCUCACGGGCUCAUCUCUCUGUCUUAGUUGUCUAUUUCCAGCAAAGAUUUUUAUUCUAAAUCUGUGUAGAACAAUCUAAAACAAGUCGAUUUUUCACGGACCACUUAGACACGCAAUCUUUUUCUAUACUACAAAUUGCAAAAGUGGUUGCGAGAAAAAUACCGUAUACAUUGUCUGUAGAAUUAAAUUUUCCAUGUACGCGUACUGUCGAGAAUUAAAUGCAAAUGAUUGAUAGUUAAAUGUCAGAGAAAGGAGGUAGGGGACCUAUAUAGAUAUGAACCUAUAGAUAGUCUGUCUUCAAAGGAUCAUUAACCAUGAUACCUGGGGACCAACACAGAAGAGUUCAACACAUCAAUCACACUAAACAGAAGUGAAGUGAAGCAAGAGAAAAAUCAUAGGUUCUAUCCUACUCCUAGUGAUGAUCCGGUUAGAACAUACAGAAGAGUCGUAGGGGAAUGAACAGAACACAGAGCACAGAACACAGAACACAGAACACAAUACACAAUACACAAUACACAGAACACAGAUAACAGAAUGACAACGAAACAGUAGCGAUGAACAAAAUUUUGAAGUUAGGUGCAGAUGGUAGACCCUUACACACGUGCACACAGUGGUCCUUGAUCAACAUCUAUAUUAGAGGAAUUUUGUUCACAUUGUUAAGGUCGACAUCACAAUCAUGCAAGCAUUAUUGUGGUUGCGACUGACUCAUUCUCAUCACUUAACCAUUCAAAAAUCUUAUUCUAAUUUCUCAGAAGGAUAAGAGCAGAAGAAACAGCAACAUGGAAACAUGGCAUAAAACAAAGAUUUCGCACUCAGAGACCAUAUGCAGAUCUUACGAAAGUUUCCCACUUUAUGCUUUUGCCGCUAGCCACUCAUAUUCUGAUUCAAUCUUCCAAGACAAGCUAACAGGAACACUACCUAAGAAAGAUGAAGAGGUAACAAACAGAAGCCAGCUUGUCAGGGUUUGUGAAUGGUUUCUAUUUGAUCAGAGGCCCUAAAAACAAUACAGAAGAGUUUUCUUUCCAGUAUAAUCAACUACGAGCUGAAGAUGCCAUAUCGCCAUUACCAAAUACUUCAGGUCGCGAUUUCUCCUAUCCCCAACAUGAUUUUCAAUACAAUAAGGCAAUAAUACCAGGUGAAAGGCACACCUAUACUACAGACGGAAUUCAACAGGUAACUAACCUAAAAAAGGCUAUAGUUCUAAUCUGAAAAAGAAAAAAAAAGUUACUAUUGUAAAAGAAAAAGUUUAGUCAGAAAACUAGCAAAGUUCAGAUGUAACUUUACUUCCUUCAAAUUCAUAUUUGGAGCAAGCCUUGAUCAUAGGAUAACAAGUGAAACUUUUAGAAAAAAGAAAUAUAGAUAAAGGUACAACAUCAAUUCAAUAGCACACAGCCAAGUCAAAUAAUGGCAACUGACACCCUUUUCUUUCAUUUAAAACUUACAACUACAGCAACCAUUUUACAUUUCAUUAUGAGUGGCAUGAAUAAUUGUAGCAAAUAGAUAAAUCAGUCAACUCUGCAGCAAGGGAACUGAAGUACUAGAUUCUCACAAAAGAGAAAAAAGACAUCCAAAUAAAGAAAAGGAAAAUAAAUAGAAUUAAAAAUAAAUGUCAAUCUUUCUAUUAAAGAGUUAUCUUCCCUAAUUGUGCAGGAAGGAUAACUACUAGAACAAAUUCAUACAGUAAAGCUGACAAAAGAGGGAAUUUUUUUCCUAAUGUGUAAUGAAUCUGUCUUGGGUCUCAUCAAUUUCACCUAUAUUAUAAUAUUACACUGAAGCUUGCUGUCAUGCAUUGUUAGCUCUGUAAAAUAGAAGGGUAUCAAUCCAGAGAAAAAAUUUACCUCCAACGCAUUGUCAUGAACAAGCAAGUUCAUCCAGCCUCUUCACAACCCAUUAUAAGGGAAAGCAGUCACUGUUUACGUCACUCUGAAGUCAGAAAACAGAUCUUAAAGAAAGCUCUAACUGGAAUCUUCUGACUUGAAACAUUAAAAAAUGAGAGAGGUCCACAUAGGUUCCUAAGUUGGGUGCCCAAAUCGAUCUUGCUGUGUAAAUUCCCAUGAGAAGUUGAAGGGAACUAGUAUCAAGAGAAGCACCACGUUCCUACUCAUGAACAACUUCCAAGUAAUUGUUAGUGCUCUCAAACUGCAAAUAAAGGUGAAGACGGUUGGCUAAUCACUAUCGCUGUCACGUCGAUCUGCAAGAAACAUGAGACAGAUGAGUUGAAGGGCAUUUUCUCUUUGAUUAAGAUAAGAAAACAAAACCAAAUAAAAACAAAUAACCAUAAAAAGAAUAUAAGAUACGGGGAAGGUUGUCAUACUUCCUGAUGGUCUUUUCCCUUCCAUAGCCUCUCUCUUCUCUUGACAACUAGUGCAAAGGAAGGGGCCAUCCCAAGGUCGCAAUUUUUCUGGGUUAGAGGUUGAGCCGGAAUGUAUUGAAAUACCCUCUCCUGGUUUGAUUUCAACUUGACAAACAGCACACAUAAAGAGCUUAAACAUGUUGCAGAGUGGGUACUUUGAAUCUAACCUGUAUUCACAAAAAUGAUCUAGUCAAAAUCCAGCAAACCUGCAGAAACACCCACUAUACAAAGUGCCACGAGUAAUGAAACAACUCCAUUAAACACAGUUCCAUAGCUACCAAAUAAAUUACAUACAACGAUACAAAUGAAGUAAAGGAAAGCACAUAGAAACUUGCCACUUGAUGCCUGGUCCACAAAUAAAUAAAAGAAGUACCACAAUAAAGAUGGAAAUUUAAGCACAAACCUUUCGGAAAGAGAAGCAGAACCUUCCUCAUAUAUUUCCUCCACCGUGUCUGGUUCAAUAUAUUCUUGUUCAACACUAGAAGAUGAUUCACAAGGCUUUUUCUUAAACAUGGACUUAAAAACUCCUUUUCCUCCUUGCCUCUUUGGUUGCGCCAAUGGAGCUGCUGGCUUCUCCUGUGGUAAAAUGUCAAUCACAAUACAGGUUGUAUCAUCCCGCAGUCCCUUUGCCCCAACAGCAUCCUGGAAUCAGAAUAUAAAAUCUGUAAGACAUAGGUCGAUGCAAGAGAACUAACCGCAAGAGUGCUGGCAAAGCAUCUAUAUUUGUCUAGGUCAAGUACUAUAUCACACAUAAGAUAACAAGAGCAAACUGAAAUUUACAAAUAUUUCUGUACCUUGACUAUUUGGGCAGCUGCAGCAUCUGGAGGCAUCCCACGACAACAGUCAAGAGCUUCUUCUGCAGACAGAGCAUCCCAUACACCAUCACUUGAUAUGAUCAGCCUACCACCAGCAGUAGACAACUGUAGAAAAAACAAUAAGGAUAAAUAAAUAUCCACAUUGCCCUUUAAAAUAAUUUCAACUGAGAGGUAAAUAUUUCCAAUAGUCAUGAUAGAAGAAUUAAUAUUUGUUAAAUCUUAGAAAGAUCAGAAAAGGAUACAUGGAUAUGGAAUCUGAAACAUAGACACUGAAUAUUGGAAAAUGGAUGGAGAUAGAAAAACACCUUCAUUUGCUUUACAUAAGGAACAGGAACAAUGAACUCUCCCACAUCCAUAUCACCAAUGGAUCUCGAAAGGCACAAGCCACCAGGCCAACACCUCAAUGGACCAAUCUACAUGAAAUAAAUGUAAUCAUUAAAUGGUUUGUAUAACCUUCUAAUUGGAAAAUGCACUGUGAAAAAUACAAAUCUUACGACGGUGAAAAAAAAAUUACCUCUGCCCCGCCGCCAGUAUUAAGCCUACCAACCUCACCACCACUUGAAGUGAUACGCAGUCUCCUGUUCAAGUUUAGUUAAAAUACAGAUCGGUGUUAAUGAUGAUAUCAAUUGAUAACAGUCAGGAAAACGCUAUUAAAAAAAAGCUUACUCGUCCUCGCUGCAUUCAAGCCUAUGAUCUGCUGAUAAAUAAUAAACUCCACCUUCGGCAGGUUCAACAAUGCAACGAGAAUCACCAACGGAUGCAACAGAUAUUACCCAUCCCUCUAUAAUUACAAAGGUGACAGUGGUUCCUGACGUUUGAGCUGAAAAUGGCAGUAACAAUGUAUAUAAAUAUUAUGCACUCAGGAACCAGAACCAAUAACUUUUGGCUCUUAUUAGAUGGCAUACAAUGGUUAAAAUUAAAAUCCAGUUUUAUCAACUCUCCAAACAAACCCACAUAUAGACAAUUGGGCAGAAAUUGUAUUACAAGAGAAAAAAAUGACAACCAGGAAAAGCUUAAGGUACAAUGAGGCAUAUCUUUUAUUCUCAUCAAGAUCAGUAGUGGAAUAACUACCUUUCUCUUGGAACUCUUUGUCUGUCUUGACAAAGCCUGCUACCAAUGACCUUGGCAAAGCUGCAAUCCAUUCAUCUCUGUUAAGAUCUGAAGGAAUAGCAGCUAAAAUAUUGCUCAGAAGAUUUUCCUUGGAGUAUAUAGCGGCUGCAGACCCGUUAUGCCCAUCAAAUAGCUGCAAGACAUCGGCUAGUAAGAAUAAUCUAAAGAAAUUACUUGAGCAAUUUGCUUCAAUAAUGGUUUCAGUAGGCUGGUAAAAAUUGAUAUAGCAACACAUAAGACCUCCAAAAAUUGGAUAAAAAGAAGAGAAAAACAAUAAAAUCAUAUACAGCCUAGUGAGAAGAUCCAUCAUAAUCCUUGAAAUGGCUUAGAAUUGGCUAUUUAGGGUAUGAACUACCUAUCAAUUACAUAUCCAAUGCUUGUAAAAUUAUGCAAAUAGCGAAAGGAUGUCAAAAAACAUCCACCAAAACUAGGCGAUUCUAGGCAUUUAUCCCCUCGAUAAUCCAUUACAAGCAAAAUACAAAUGAGAGAAAGGAAAAUAAAAGUAUACCGCAAAAACUGAAUAGGUAGAAACUCCAUCCCCCACAACUCUUUGACAAUCCGUCUUCACCAUAGUGAAAUCCUCCCCUUUCUUGCUCUGACUAGCCUGACCAUAUAUAAUCUCGGGCCUCUCAAUCUUCUCAUUGGCCAAUUCUCGCUUCAGCAGCACCGAAAGCGGGACCGUCUGAUGAUUAUCACUCCUGUUGUUGGACAUCGUUUCACACUCCUAAUAAAAACACAGUCUCUCCUCCCAACUCUAAUACUCCAUGCCACAAUUCUCAAUCCAAAUCCUGCAAAAACAAACACAAAUAACACCGUAAUCAAAACGCACCGUUUCCUCCUUCCAAAUCUAAUCUCUCCUCCCACAAACUCCCAAAAAUAAUUAAAGAGAUCUUUAAACGAAACGAAUGAGCGAUAUUCUAACAAUUAAAAAUCACACCGGAAACAAAUGAACAGCAAUAAGCAAUCGUAAUGCGGAUGUUAAUUAACCGGAAUCGGAGAGAUGAAAAGAGAAAUUACUGUGUAGGGAGAGAGGGAACGAAAGCAGAAGAGAGCAACGGCGGUUUAGGCGCGAAGAGGAAGAAAGUGCGGCAUGGCGAACACGACGAUUAUUUGGUCUGAUCGAGAAACGCGGAUCCCGGCGCUCUGCGAAAAUUCCAUUCCAUUCUUUCUACAAAGAAAAUAGAGAGAGAGAGAGAGAGAGAGAGCGAAUAUGAAAAGCGCAAAUGAAGCUGUUCUUCUCCUUUUCUUUCUUUAAAAAUAAAACUAAAAUUACGGGAAACAAAACUCACUGGCGCUGGCGUGGCAGCGAAACGUAACGUUUUUGGGGGAUUCGGCGCUGCCCCUACGCCAGCCGUUUAGAGUUUAGACACGGUUUUCUGGAGCCGUUUGACUUGUGUGAUGCGCAAGAGUCAAGCGAUGACUUGGUAGAUCUCCCUAAUGCGGCCCACAAAGGGGAAGGUGGGGCCCACUGGACCUGCUUGAUUGAUGUGGAAUCUGAGGUGGUCGGUCAAUUAAGACAAAUCAGGGAGGUUAAACUAAUUAAUAAGAUGAUGAAUUGUCGGGUUUUCCAUUUGGAUUCUAAUUAUUGGCUGGCGCCGGUUAUUUGAGGGAAGCAACGAGGAGGCCUCGAUGUAGCGAAUCUCGUCCCACUCACACUAUAUCGAGAUUAUUAUUUUUUUACAUACUUACAUAGUAAACGUUUGCGCAUUGUUGUUGUCAUAAAUAAUCAGAAGGACCACGUUUCCUUUUUAUUUUCCUUUAUUAUAUUCAGAAAAAUAUUAUGUUUACUUUACAUUAAAAAGAAAUUACAACGAAAAACCUCUUAGACGACCAAUACAAGAAGAAUAAGAAGAGUCAUUUGAGUUUAGGGAGGAAUCCUAUCAAACCAACACAUCGGAGUAUAAAGAGAGUGGCCAACGCAGAAAAUGAACAUAUUUUUGUUCAGAAUAACUACAUUUCAUGAAACAAAAUAGACCUAUGAUCUUUUAACUCUGUCACAUUUCUUCACAUAAAACAAAAACACAAAAUUGUCCUACUACUAACUCAACUGUCUAAGGGUAGCCCUGCUAGCUCUUUUUUAUUUGAGAAAAAAAAAAAACUAACCACAAUGUUGGUCAUGUCUUCGUCACACUGAGAUCAUGAAUUCAAGAUAAUAAUUACAUCCUUUAUAUGUCGUCUAGUUGGAAUAUCUAGAGUAUGAUUAACAUUACGAUAAGGGAGGGGUUUUGGGCCUGGAGCCCAGAGGGCCCAACUUCUGGUUCCAACCUACCCCUUGACCUCCACCUGGAGUGUCCGAAAUUCUCGGCGCCAGUUUAUCUCCAAUCCAGUGUCCUUGUGCAGCAAAUGCGCGUGAAUUAUUGCCUUAUUAGGUAGGAGCGUGUAGUCACACAAAUGGAAAGGCGCGUCUGUGAGAAUGGAGGAAAGACUAUCCGCGUGAAAUAAGUCAUAAACGGCUCGACCGGCUCGUAGAUCAACCGGNNNNNNNNNNNNNNNNNNNNNNNNNNNNNNNNNNNNNNNNNNNNNNNNNNNNNNNNNNNNNNNNNNNNNNNNNNNNNNNNNNNNNNNNNNNNNNNNNNNNNNNNNNNNNNNNNNNNNNNNNNNNNNNNNNNNNNNNNNNNNNNNNNNNNNNNNNNNNNNNNNNNNNNNNNNNNNNNNNNNNNNNNNNNNNNNNNNNNNNNNNNNNNNNNNNNNNNNNNNNNNNNNNNNNNNNNNNNNNNNNNNNNNNNNNNNNNNNNNNNNNNNNNNNNNNNNNNNNNNNNNNNNNNNNNNNNNNNNNNNNNNNNNNNNNNNNNNNNNNNNNNNNNNNNNNNNNNNNNNNNNNNNNNNNNNNNNNNNNNNNNNNNNNNNNNNNNNNNNNNNNNNNNNNNNNNNNNNNNNNNNNNNNNNNNNNNNNNNNNNNNNNNNNNNNNNNNNNNNNNNNNNNNNNNNNNNNNNNNNNNNNNNNNNNNNNNNNNNNNNNNNNNNNNNNNNNNNNNNNNNNNNNNNNNNNNNNNNNNNNNNNNNNNNNNNNNNNNNNNNNNNNNNNNNNNNNNNNNNNNNNNNNNNNNNNNNNNNNNNNNNNNNNNNNNNNNNNNNNNNNNNNNNNNNNNNNNNNNNNNNNNNNNNNNNNNNNNNNNNNNNNNNNNNNNNNNNNNNNNNNNNNNNNNNNNNNNNNNNNNNNNNNNNNNNNNNNNNNNNNNNNNNNNNNNNNNNNNNNNNNNNNNNNNNNNNNNNNNNNNNNNNNAAAAAAAUAACUCGAAUGUUAGUCAAUUGCUUCAUAUACUGAAUGCGUUUGCCAUGGCUAGUUUGAGGCUCUGAAAGGCACAUGCCCAUAAGAAGUUGUCUCAUCACUCACAGAUGGAUAUAUAUUCAAAUAUUCAAUCCAUUCUUACACUUACAUGCCAAACAACAUGGCAAUGUAGCUGUCUUUCUCCAUCAAUAUCUGCAUAGAUACAAGUUUUAUAUAUAAAUCGAAGGCGAAAGAUAAGAAGAGCUGCCAUCCAUUCAAAUUUUCUCAAAGGUUCAUACAUAUAUAUCUUCAAAGAGACAACAGUAGACAUUUCAAUAUAAUUGGAUGUUGAUUGGAGAUGAUUGCUCUAUGUCUCUCCUAAAACUAGAAAUCUACACAGAACAUGAAUGUUAAAACUUCCUACUUCUCUUGCAGCAGAUAAAGGGUCAUUCACUACAGCAAAAUGGAUAUAAAGGCUAUCCCAAAAGUUUUUUACCUGCAAAAGAAAAGAAGGGUGUUGUGAUGUGAGGAAGGAUUCGAUUCAGAGAAUUAAAGAUCUGAGAAUAAUGUAAUGGCUUCAAUGUCUUUGAGAUAAAACUUUCUUAAAAAGCUGUGAUUUACAAGACAAAUAGGCCGAUUUUGGAUUAUGAAGACCAUAAGUUGUUAGUUACAUGAAGGGGGAAGUGACUUUGUACACUUGCAUGCCAGUAUGUCAGCCAAGACAUUAGGAGCCACAUGGUUUGUAUACAAACAGAUAGAUGCAUGCCCCUGUGCCCUCACUUGUGGCCUUUUGUGUAUAUAUGCAAGUUGCUUGAUUUAUAUAUGCAUACAGUACGUAACUACCCCCUGCAUCUGUGUUUCAAAGAAAGACUUUUCUUUUGGUUUAAGAUCAUGACAUACGCAGAUCUUCAUGGCUGAGUAAUUCUGAGACCAAAUCUGGUUCACAAGAAGCAGAUAUGCUAUAUAUUCAACAAAAAAGAGAGAAAGUUCCUCUGUUAAGAUUUAGGAGUUACUAGUUAAUUUCUGUUUGGUUUGAUUAAUUAACCUAUAUUAAUCUUAAAGCUGAGCAAAACAUGUGCUUGACAGAAUGCUAAUAGAAUGUGAUAUCCUAUCAUCUACAUAGGUCAAAUUCAUAGAAAAUGUUAUCACUGAUUUUAAAUGAUGAGGAAGGGAAUAAAUCAAAUCAGAACAUUGCUAUUUCAUUGACAGUAGAUAUGUUGACAAAGCAAUGGAUAUGAGAAGAAAUAAACAAUCGACCUCUUGAAGAAAAGAAUACCUAAUUGAUUGGACUGCGUUAGAGUUAGCAUAAUACUAUUCAGGCCUUUCUUUCCACCCUUAUAAUGUACACCUGGAAGCAGAACCAAAAAAAAAAAAAAAAAACUUAAAUGAGAUAUAAAAUUUCAAUUUUGUAGACAAAGAACAGAAUGGUCAAGAUAUCAGCAAAUACUUUCUUAAAUAGUUGGAAUAAAUGGAUCGACAGAUAUAACAUACGAGCCUGAGUUGAAAUUUUAUGAAGGGAAAAUUACUAGAGUUGUAAACCUGUUUUGGGUCAACAAACAGAAAUGAUAUUAUAAACUCAAAACAACCCGUUUCAUAAUCCACCAGUAGACUAUAUCUAUCUUGUAUUCAUGUUUUAAUGUAAACCCUUUCCAUAUCAAAAUGUGAAAAUCAAUCACCUUCAUUGUUGUAGGCUUGAUUAAUUGAAAGACCACUGCAUCCCCAUCCACCAAAUCAUGAGCUACUGCAAAUCCUUUCCACCCACCGCUUAGUCCUGUCUUCCGGGCCAAGUAAAUAGUCUCGUACUCAUUACCCUCUUCGUCUACCAAUGUCAUAAUUUCAUCUUUCUUUGAGAGAUAAUCCUUGCAGAAUUGGACUUGAAGACCCUGUUUGCAAAAAGAGAAAUUUAGACAAAAGUUUAUAAAACCCUGGCAGAAUUGAACAUAUUUACAGGCAUCAGGCUACUAGUGGAUCAAGUUGGUUCUUCCUUCAUACACAAAAUAAUACACAGAAGUUAAAGCCAACUUAUUCUAGGACAGUAGGACACACUAAUAAGGUCGGUGGAAUCAUUCUUCCAAACACAAAUUUUGUGUCACAUCUUCAGGUUAAAUGAUAACUACCACAAGACUAACUUCCAAUUAACUGAUAACUAUCACAGAGCUAAUGAUCAUCACAAUUAUAACAACCUUUCCCCUAGAAACACAGUAGGAAACUCUGAAAUCUCACAAAACCUCAACUAUAUAGUAAAUUGGUCAUCAUGGUUAAAACAUGCAACUACAUUUUUGAUAAAAAAAGAAGAAACCUUCGACUAAAUCAUAACAUAGGAAGCACAUUGCUUGGUCCUUACCAGCCAGAAUCCACCAGUGACAUGUGAUUGGAGCAUUGUUUUCACAAGGGUCGGGUAAUCAGACCCCAAAUCCGACUCCAAUUUCUCAGCUUUCGCCAUAGCAUCCGUUCUAUCUUCAUACGAAGCAUACACCCUAUUCGACAGAUCCCUAUGCUUAGAAGUAGAACCAGAAUACCUUCUCGGUAUCACCACUCGCUCAACAACAUCCUGUCGCAUCAAAAAUCACAAAACAUUGACAUUUAUUUAUUUAUUUAUUAUUAUUAUUUUUUUUGUAAUCAAGUAAUUAAGGGAAAAAUGAUGAAGACCAUUUCUUUGUAGACAGGAGCAGCAGGAAGAUUUGCGACGCGGGAGGACCUCCUCACCCCAACCAUCUGCUUCUCGGCCUUCGGCUUGGGGGUCCGCUUCAUCUGUGACAAUCAAAGACAAAGAGAACCCAAAAUGAGCUCUUCUUACACAAAACACAAAUAAAGAAAAUAGGGUUUAGGGUUUAAGGGGCUUUACAGGGGAGGGUUUAGGAGAGGAAGAGGUUUUAAGAGCAAGAGAAAGCUGAGGCAGGUUGAGCGCCUCCAUUCUCUUCUUGUUUUCCUCCAUCCUCUGCCUACGACUCUCCUCGUAUGAUACUGUCUCGGGUUUCGCCAUUGUGAGAAAUCACUGUUUCUGAAAUUUGGGUUUUGGAAACAGAGGAAGAUGAUCGAUAUAGUGAUACUGUGAUAGUGGUGGAGAUAGAAAAGAGCCUAUGCCAGUGGACCGUUGGGUUCCCACCUCAUAUGGAGUAAAUGUCGCAUCACCCGCGGGUGGCUCACGGCUCGAAAUCUGAUUGGUCAGUGGCGAUUCUUUAAUUCUUUUUUUGAAAGGAAAAAUUGGGGGAACUGGACUCCUAUCAAAUCAGCGUUAAAUCCGAUAUCUGCACUCAAGCGUUCAAAUUCAAAUUUGACAGCCCCUGUAGUAAUUAAGUAAUUAGUAAAACUUUGCUUUGAUCUAGCCAGUAACUUUGCUUUGAUCUAGCCAGUAACUUUGCUUUAAUUAGUAAACGGGUGUGUCCUGUAUCGUUUCGUAAAACUGUUUUGGUAAAACUGAAUUGUAAAAUGCAAAUGACUGAUUAAAUUACAAGUCUAUGACUCAGUUUAUAAGUUUAUAUACAGUCAAACUCUUUCUGUUUCUUUUUCUUCGAAAACAAAACAAUUAUCUGUCUGUACUCCUAUAUGAUCAUGAACGAUUUAUAAAAUAUAUAAGAAAAUAUUGAUGAGUAGUACCUUAAUACAUGAUAUUCAAACUCUAGCUCAAGUGCUUAUAUAGAAUUGACACACAUGUCAUAAGUUCUUGAUGCUCAAAUAGAUUUGAUAAUUCACAUACCAAUACUCCAGCCAUUUUCCAGAACACUAUCAAGAAGUUGAUGUUUUUUACGAGAAAAGAAAGAAUAUUAUGGAGAUUGAACGAGAAGAACACUAUCCCUCAGUUUUGUUUAUAGAAUAUAUCAAUACAAAAUUGCAAGCUCUUGAAUCUCUAAUUCAUCUCCAGAUUACCCAAGUCCCAACUAUCAAGAUCUCCCAACGUAGUCUCCAGAUUUCCCAACUUAGUCUCCAGAUUUCUCAACUUAGUUGUUAAUUCAUCUAGCCCAUAAGAGAAUUCAAUUGUAUUUAAGCAGAAAAUAUCGAAACUUUCACACCAGAUUCUCCAAGUAAUCACUAUGAUUCUGAUCGUUCAAGCAUUCGUCUCUACUUCAUGAUUCUUCAAGUAUCAAUUGAUUGAAAAGGGUCAGGAGCUUUUAAUUAACUCCAGCUGAAUGAAAUAGAUGCGAAGAGAAGAAAAGUCCCAAUCGAAGUUGUGACACAGAGAGAAAGACGAAACAAAGGGCAGAAGAGUUUCGACCGCGGUGUUGUUUUGAGGAAACAAGGAAAACGAUAAAAAGUCGUUUCUCAUUUUUAUUCAGAAUCCCUGAGUUGUAUCUUGAAAUUCAUUUUGGCUGUUUUCCGAAUCACCUCCACCAAACGCAUAUUACAUAGUUUUUAUAUUUGUAAAACAGAAAAAGGGUUUUGCGAAAUGAUACCGAACGACACCUAAGUAAUCUGUAAAACUGGGUGAAAUGGGGCAGAAAUUUAGGACGAGAUACUGCGUUUCGUAUAGGAAGGAAAGGAGGGAUUGGAUUAACCUUCAUUUUAAGCAGUGGUGUCAUUGACAUUGAUAUAACCGAUCGAUGGCUUCAUUAGAAGAUGAACCAAAAGUUAUAACACAAGUAAAUUGAUAUCUAUGAUUAUCUCUUCAUCAAGCAUCGAUGGUGCAUCCAAAUGGAUAUAUUUGAUAUUUCUAAAUGAAGUUCUAUGUUCAUGUCUCUUAAAUGGACAUUAUGGACAUCCGAAUAUGAUCGCUUCAUUGCAAAAACUACAUAUAACCUGAUAACAUUUGGUGGUUUCUGAUAUACAAAAAUCAUUAUCUAGGGACAAAUGAAGCUCAUUGCACUUGGAUAGUCCUUCACUAAACCUGCAACAAGCAAAAAGCUUGAGUGAGACUAGUUAGGAAUGAACUCAGAAAAGCUACCGCGUAAAUGAGCAAGCAAUGCAGACAACACACCAAGCCAAACUUGGCCGUUAUUGGAUCAACGAAAGACAUUAAACACAUUAAACCAUGAAUUCAUUCACUUUUGUGAUGGAAAAGCUGUAUCUUUUAUCUGCAUCCCAGUAUCUUGGCCCAUUCUUUAGAAAACACAUGCUUUCUAUAUAAACACAAGCACAGUUCUAGUUGUCUAUGUAGAAGUAAAUUGUUUCUUUUUCAUAACACCUGGGUUCAUGUUUCACAUUUCAUACAAAUACAGCACACAUGAUCCGAGCUAGAUAUACUGAAUCAUGGUAGAAUUUGAAUUUGCUAUAAGCCACUUCUAAAAUAUCUUUCCUUAAAGAGUGUCAAUGUGAACAUAUUCUUAACCAUCUUAAUCUAGAUACAUCAUAAACAUUUUACUAAUAUUCUACAUAUCUUCCUUCUUACUAAUAGUGAUCAACUGCUAUAUUAACCCAUAAACCUAUCUAAGUUUCACAGCAAAACAGACAAGGAGAUUGAUAGAGUAUCAAUAGACAUAGACUCUGCUAAACAUCUCAUAUAUAACUCAAGAAAGCAAAAAGGAAGAUUGAAUUUAGUAACAGAAAUACAAUCAUAGAUAAUAGAUUGUUAGUUAAACAAAAGAGAGCAAGAAGUAAAUUUAACUACUACAAGAGUUAACCAGCGUAACAUCUAAAAUUACCUCAACUGACCUAACCUAUGAGUCAAGUAACUUUUUGCACUCUUUAAGAGCUUUCCACCCUUGUGAUGUACACCUGAAAUAAUAACACUAGUACAGUUAAUUAAAAAAAAACAUAAAGGCUGGAUGAGAAAAAAAGAAAAGGGCACGUAUCUAGCUUGAAUCAUUUGUAUCAUUUGAAUCAUUUGUAUCUACUAGAGAAAAAAAAGAUAAUAUACAUAUUUGCACAAUUCCCUCCUAGAGCAUUUUGUUGCUUCGAAAGAGAAUCCUCUUACAGUUAAACAAGAAACUGUAAGUGGUCCUUAUUUAGAGUUCAGUAUGUACUUCUUGCUGAUCUAUUAUAAACUAGUAUACUAAUCCCCUCAGUCUUGGCCUCUUGGGGUUUAGGAAUUCCUCAUGUAUCCACCCGAGUGCUCAUAACAAAGUUUAAAAUGAUCACCUUGAAUGUUGUAGGCCUAGUCAGCUGAAAUACCAAUGCAUCCCCAUCCACCAAUUCAUGAGCAAUCGCAAAUCCUCUCCAUCCACCGCUAAGUCCUUUUUUGUUCUCCAAGUAUACAGUAGGGUACUGCUCGCCUUGUUCGUCUACCAACGUCACAGUUGCAUCACGCUUAGGGAGGUACUUCCUGCAGAAAGAGAGUGGAAGACCCUGUUUCAAAACGAGAGAGAAUAUUUAGAAGAUUCUCCAGUGGUAAAUCAAAAUGAUUGUUACUUGGUACAAACUUAGAAGCAGCACAAUGCACAUAGAAUGGUUCAUAAACAUGAUUUGAAGUGUCAACAGAGUAAGAAAAUGGGUUGUCCCAAAAUCACAGAUUCAAUGCCAUAACUUUGCAGUAACUAUGACAGGACUAAACAAUAUGUGAUGGCCAUCCCUCCAGAAACACAAAGUUCCCAAUUUCAAUUAUGACAACUACAAACACAUAAAUACUAGCAAGACUAAAUCGGUCCUUACAGUACUUUAUACAUGAGAUUAAGGUGUCCAAAACAUGUGUACUUUUAUACUAGCAAUGCCAUACAAGAACAAUAGAGCACAAACAAACAAUGGACAAGUGAGAUAGUGGAGAUAUAAACCAAUUAUAUUACCAUCCAGAAUCCACCAGUGACAUGGGAUUGGAGCAUUGGUUUAACAAAGGUUGGGUAAUCGGACCCCAAACCCGACUCAAAUGCCUCAGCUUUCUCAGUGGCCUCAGCUCUGGAGUGCUCAUCAGCAUAUACCCGGUUGGAAAAAUCCCUAUGCUUUGAAACCCUCCCAUAGCUUCUUGGUAGCUUCACCUCAACCUGUCAAAAAUCACAAAAAUCUCCUCAAAGAUUGCAACUUUUUUCCCCAAUUUUUUUUAUAAAAAAAAAAAAAAAUUAUGAGCUGAAAAAUAAAAAUGGACUCACUUCUCUGUAAACAGGGGUAGGCUGGGUGGCGACGCGAGCGGACCUCCUGACCACAACAAUCUGCUUCUCCACUUUGCGAGGCUUCUGGCGCUUCAUCUGAGAAAUGAAGAGAAGAAGACAGAAUGAGCUGUUUUUACAGAAAUAGACAAAGGGUUUAGGGUUUUUGGGUUACCGGAGAGGGUUUGGGAAAAGCCGCCUGAGCCAGCUGAGGCAGAUUGAGGGCUUCCAUUCUCUUCCUGUUUUCUUCCAUCCUCUUCUUUCGGGUUUCUUCGUAGGACGUGUUUGGCUUCGCCAUCGCUACUUUUUCCAGAUGAACCAAGCAGAAAGUUCUCAGCUUUUUUAGGGUGUAGAAGAGGAAAGGGUGGGAAUUCAAGAUUUGAAAGGAUCGGACUCUGUUAACAACCCUUUUAAUUCUCCAUUUUGGAAUCAAAGUCCUUCCGAAUUACUCGGUAGUCAUUCUGCCAAAAAAAACAGAAUAAAAAAA
This 40444-nucleotide long non-coding RNA is filed under the name Fragaria vesca (wild strawberry). Its description in RNAcentral is "long non-coding RNA (FVES_LNC000837)". The record is from RNAcentral. Lineage: Eukaryota; Viridiplantae; Streptophyta; Magnoliopsida; Rosales; Rosaceae.